UUGACCUCGGAUCAGGUAGGGAUACCCGCUGAACUUAAGCAUAUCAAUAAGCGGAGGAAAAGAAACCAACAGGGAUUGCCCCAGUAACGGCGAGUGAAGCGGCAAGAGCUCAAAUUUGAAAGCUGACUCCUUCGGGGUCCGCAUUGUAAUUUGCAGAGGAUGCUUCGGGAGCGGUCCCCAUCUAAGUUCCCUGGAACGGGACGUCAUAGAGGGUGAGAAUCCCGUAUGGGAUGGGGUGUCCGCGCCCGUGUGAAGCUCCUUCGACGAGUCGAGUUGUUUGGGAAUGCAGCUCUAAAUGGGUGGUAAAUUUCAUCUAAAGCUAAAUAUUGGCCGGAGACCGAUAGCGCACAAGUAGAGUGAUCGAAAGAUGAAAAGCACUUUGAAAAGAGAGUUAAAAAGCACGUGAAAUUGUUGAAAGGGAAGCGCUUGCGACCAGACUCGCUCGCGGGGUUCAGCCGGCAUUCGUGCCGGUGUACUUCCCCGCGGGCGGGCCAGCGUCGGUUUGGGCGGUCGGUCAAAGGCCCUCGGAAGGUAACGCCCCCAGGGGCGUCUUAUAGCCGAGGGUGCAAUGCGACCUGCCUAGACCGAGGAACGCGCUUCGGCUCGGACGCUGGCAUAAUGGUCGUAAGCGACC
RNAcentral lists this ribosomal RNA (634 nucleotides) under Penicillium malodoratum. RNAcentral describes it as "eukaryotic LSU rRNA". It matches the Rfam family "Eukaryotic large subunit ribosomal RNA", at positions 1 to 649 of the family's 3401-position model. Lineage: Eukaryota; Fungi; Ascomycota; Eurotiomycetes; Eurotiales; Aspergillaceae. The record is from RNAcentral.